RNAcentral lists this ribosomal RNA (424 nucleotides) under uncultured prokaryote. RNAcentral's name for it is "bacterial SSU rRNA". It matches the Rfam family "Bacterial small subunit ribosomal RNA", at positions 355 to 796 of the family's 1533-position model. The record is from RNAcentral.
CGACGAAUCUUCCGCAAUGCGCGAAAGCGUGACGGAGCAAUGCCGCGUGUGGGAUGAAGGCGCUCUGCGUCGUAAACCACUGUCAGGCCCUAGAACCAACGAUCAGGGCCAGAGGAAGGGCCGGCUAAACUCGUGCCAGCAGCCGCGGUAAGACGAGUGGCCCAAGCGUUAAUCGGAAUCACUGGGCUUGAAGCGUGCGCAGGCGGACCUUUAGGCAUCCCGUGAAAUGCCCCGGCUCAACCGGGGAAUGGCGGGGUGAACCAUUGGUCUUGAGGCAGGUAGGGGGGUGCAGAACUGUCGGUGGAGCGGUGAAAUGCGUAGAUAUCGACAGGAAUGCCGAAGGCGAAGGCGGCACCCUGGGCCUGUCCUGACGCUCAUGCACGAAAGCGUGGGGAGCAAACAGGAUUAGAUACCCGUGUAGUCC